This is a long non-coding RNA of Pogoniulus pusillus (Red-fronted tinkerbird), 384 nucleotides long. RefSeq lists it as uncharacterized. The record is from RefSeq and is a predicted model, not a curated record. Lineage: Eukaryota; Metazoa; Chordata; Aves; Piciformes; Lybiidae. The transcript is spliced from 2 exons.
CAGGCUGCCUCUGGGGAAGAAGCAAGAGCAGUGCCACCAGCAAUAGCGUUCCCAGGCCUUCUCAUAGCCUAGGGCACUGAUGGGUCACCCAGCCCAGGACAGCCCUUCAGCUCACUAUGGAAGGUCGACUCUCUUCUCUGCAGCGUUUUGGGUGACCAACGCCCGGAACACCUUGUCCCCGGAGAGAAUUGACUGUCACGUCCCCAUGAGCAGGAGCCACUUCCUCAUGCCUGUGGCGCUGAAAACUCCCAUUGCUGAACAACGAGGCCAUGACAUUGUUCCAACUCCACAGCCUCCACACCCCGAAGGUGUUGGGCUCUGAUCUGACCUCGCUUCUUGUGUUUUCGAGAACUGAACAAGCUUUGCUUGCCCAGCACUGCCAAA